Molecule: ribosomal RNA, 650 nt
Filed under: Desmacella cf. annexa CM-2010
Lineage: Eukaryota; Metazoa; Porifera; Demospongiae; Desmacellida; Desmacellidae
Description: eukaryotic LSU rRNA
Rfam family: Eukaryotic large subunit ribosomal RNA
Source: RNAcentral
ACACGGACCAAGGAGUGCAACAUGCGUGCGAGUCUUGGGGUGGCAAACCCAUCGGCGCAAUGAAAGUGAAGGCAGAUAUUUGGUCUGCUGAGGCGAGAGCUCCUCCGGGGGCACAUCGUCGACCGAUCCCAGGCUACGCUGUGGCGGGAUUUGAGUAAGAGCGUGCCUGUUGCGACCCGAAAGAUGGUGAACUAUGCCUGAAUAGGGUGAAGCCAGAGGAAACUCUGGUGGAAGCUCGUAGCGAUUCUGACGUGCAAAUCGAUCGUCAAAUUUGGGUAUAGGGGCGAAAGACUAAUCGAACCAUCUAGUAGCUGGUUCCCUCCGAAGUUUCCCUUAGGAUAGCUGGAGCCCGGUGCAGUUUUAUCAGGUAAAGCGAAUGAUUAGAGGUCUUGGGGUUGAAACAACCUCAACCUAUUCUCAAACUUUAAAUGGGUAAGAAGCCCGGCUUGCUUAAUUGAAGUCGGGCAUUGAAUGCCGGGGCUCCUAGUGGGCCAUUUUUGGUAAGCAGAACUGGCGAUGUGGGAUGAACCAAAUGCCGGGUUAAGGUGCCCGAAUCGACGCUCAUCAGAUACCAUGAAAGGUGUUGGUUGAUCCAGACAGCAGGACGGUGGCCAUGGAAGUCGGAAUCCGCUAAGGAGUGUGUAACAACC